RNAcentral lists this ribosomal RNA (897 nucleotides) under Lacticaseibacillus casei. RNAcentral describes it as "bacterial SSU rRNA". It matches the Rfam family "Bacterial small subunit ribosomal RNA", at positions 25 to 887 of the family's 1533-position model. Lineage: Bacteria; Bacillati; Bacillota; Bacilli; Lactobacillales; Lactobacillaceae. The record is from RNAcentral.
UCGGAUGAACGCUGGCGGCGUGCCUAAUACAUGCAAGUCGAACGAGUUCUGAUUAUUGAAAGGUGCUUGCAUCUUGAUUUAAUUUUGAACGAGUGGCGGACGGGUGAGUAACACGUGGGUAACCUGCCCUUAAGUGGGGGAUAACAUUUGGAAACAGAUGCUAAUACCGCAUAAAUCCAAGAACCGCAUGGUUCUUGGCUGAAAGAUGGCGUAAGCUAUCGCUUUUGGAUGGACCCGCGGCGUAUUAGCUAGUUGGUGAGGUAACGGCUCACCAAGGCAAUGAUACGUAGCCGAACUGAGAGGUUGAUCGGCCACAUUGGGACUGAGACACGGCCCAAACUCCUACGGGAGGCAGCAGUAGGGAAUCUUCCACAAUGGACGCAAGUCUGAUGGAGCAACGCCGCGUGAGUGAAGAAGGCUUUCGGGUCGUAAAACUCUGUUGUUGGAGAAGAAUGGUCGGCAGAGUAACUGUUGUCGGCGUGACGGUAUCCAACCAGAAAGCCACGGCUAACUACGUGCCAGCAGCCGCGGUAAUACGUAGGUGGCAAGCGUUAUCCGGAUUUAUUGGGCGUAAAGCGAGCGCAGGCGGUUUUUUAAGUCUGAUGUGAAAGCCCUCGGCUUAACCGAGGAAGUGCAUCGGAAACUGGGAAACUUGAGUGCAGAAGAGGACAGUGGAACUCCAUGUGUAGCGGUGAAAUGCGUAGAUAUAUGGAAGAACACCAGUGGCGAAGGCGGCUGUCUGGUCUGUAACUGACGCUGAGGCUCGAAAGCAUGGGUAGCGAACAGGAUUAGAUACCCUGGUAGUCCAUGCCGUAAACGAUGAAUGCUAGGUGUUGGAGGGUUUCCGCCCUUCAGUGCCGCAGCUAACGCAUAAGCAUCCGCCUGGAGAGCCGACUA